RNAcentral lists this ribosomal RNA (500 nucleotides) under uncultured bacterium. RNAcentral describes it as "partial 16S ribosomal RNA". It matches the Rfam family "Bacterial small subunit ribosomal RNA", at positions 29 to 523 of the family's 1533-position model. The record is from RNAcentral.
AUUGAACGCUGGCGGCAUGCUUUACACAUGCAAGUCGAACGGCAGCACGGGAGCAAUCCUGAUGGCGAGUGGCGAACGGGUGAGUAAAGUAUCGGAACGUGCCCAGUCGGGGGGGAUAACGUAGCGAAAGAUACGCUAAUACCGCAUACGAGCUACGGAUGAAAGCGGGGGAUCGCAAGACCUCGCGCGAUUGGAGCGGCCGAUAUCCGAUUAGGUAGUUGGUGGGGUAAAGGCCCACCAAGCCGACGAUCUGUAGCUGGUCUGAGACGACGACCAGCCACACUGGGAAUGAGACACGGCCCAGACUCCUGCGGGAGGCAGCAGUGGGGAAUUUUGGACAAUGGGCGAAAGCCUGAUCCAGCCAUGCCGCGUGCAGGAUGAAGGCAUUCCGGUUGUAAACUGCUUUUGUACGGAACGAAAAGGACUGCCCUAAUACGGUGGUCCCAUGACGGUACCGUAAGAAUAAGCACCGGCUAACUACGUGCCAGCAGCCGCAGUAA